RNAcentral lists this ribosomal RNA (236 nucleotides) under uncultured bacterium. RNAcentral's name for it is "partial 16S ribosomal RNA". It matches the Rfam family "Bacterial small subunit ribosomal RNA", at positions 118 to 347 of the family's 1533-position model. The record is from RNAcentral.
UGAGCAACCUACCCUUGACUCCGGGAUAACAGUUGGAAACAGCUGCUAAUACCGGAUACGACCUCGACCGACAUCAGUUGAGGUGGAAAGUUCUGGCGGUCAAGGAUGGGCUCGCGGCCUAUCAGCUAGUUGGUGAGGUAACGGCUCACCAAGGCUUCGACGGGUAGCCGGCCUGAGAGGGCGACCGGCCACACUGGGACUGAGAUACGGCCCAGACUCCUACGGGAGCAGNAGGU